This 1483-nucleotide ribosomal RNA is filed under the name uncultured bacterium. Its description in RNAcentral is "bacterial SSU rRNA". It matches the Rfam family "Bacterial small subunit ribosomal RNA". The record is from RNAcentral.
AACUAGGAUGGGGGGUCUAUAAUGCAGUCGAGCGAAUGGAUUAAGAGCUUGCUCUUAUGAAGUUAGCGGCGGACGGGUGAGUAACACGUGGGUAACCUGCCCAUAAGACUGGGAUAACUCCGGGAAACCGGGGCUAAUACCGGAUAACAUUUUGAACCGCAUGGUUCGAAAUUGAAAGGCGGCUUCGGCUGUCACUUAUGGAUGGACCCGCGUCGCAUUAGCUAGUUGGUGAGGUAACGGCUCACCAAGGCAACGAUGCGUAGCCGACCUGAGAGGGUGAUCGGCCACACUGGGACUGAGACACGGCCCAGACUCCUACGGGAGGCAGCAGUAGGGAAUCUUCCGCAAUGGACGAAAGUCUGACGGAGCAACGCCGCGUGAGUGAUGAAGGCUUUCGGGUCGUAAAACUCUGUUGUUAGGGAAGAACAAGUGCUAGUUGAAUAAGCUGGCACCUUGACGGUACCUAACCAGAAAGCCACGGCUAACUACGUGCCAGCAGCCGCGGUAAUACGUAGGUGGCAAGCGUUAUCCGGAAUUAUUGGGCGUAAAGCGCGCGCAGGUGGUUUCUUAAGUCUGAUGUGAAAGCCCACGGCUCAACCGUGGAGGGUCAUUGGAAACUGGGAGACUUGAGUGCAGAAGAGGAAAGUGGAAUUCCAUGUGUAGCGGUGAAAUGCGUAGAGAUAUGGAGGAACACCAGUGGCGAAGGCGACUUUCUGGUCUGUAACUGACACUGAGGCGCGAAAGCGUGGGGAGCAAACAGGAUUAGAUACCCUGGUAGUCCACGCCGUAAACGAUGAGUGCUAAGUGUUAGAGGGUUUCCGCCCUUUAGUGCUGAAGUUAACGCAUUAAGCACUCCCGCCGGGGGAGUACGGGCCGCAAGGCUGAAACUCAAAUGGAAUUGACCGGGGGCCCCGCACAACCCGGUGGAAGCAUUGUGGUUUAAUUUCAAAACCAUCGCCUAAACAACCUCUACCAAGGUCUUGGACUUCCUCCUGACCAACCCUAAAAGACUAAGGGUUUCUUCCUUUCAGGUGCCUGGUUGUUGUCAACUUGUGUUGUGAGAAGGUGGGUUAAAUCCCGCAACGAGCGCCACCCUUGAUUUUAGUUGCCCUCCAUUAAUUGGGCCCUUCAAGGUGACCGCCGGUGGCCAACCGGAGGAAGGGGGGGAAGGCGUCAAAUCAUCCUUCCCCUUAUGACCUUGGCUACCCCCGUGCCUCCAUGGGCGGUACAAAGAAGUGCAAGGCCCCGAGGGGGAACUAAUUUUAUAAAACCGUUUUCCGUUUGGAUUGUUGGGUGCAACUUGCCUACCAGAAACCGGAAUUGCUUGUAAUUGCGGAUCAACCAGCCGCGGGGAAUACGUUUCCGGGCCUUGUUCCCCCCCCCCGGCCCCCCCCGAGAGUUUGUAACCCCCGAAGUUGGGGGGGUUAACUUUUUGGAGCCAGCCGCCUAAGGUGGGACAGAUGAUGGGGGAAGUCGAACAAAU